RNAcentral lists this ribosomal RNA (418 nucleotides) under uncultured eukaryote. RNAcentral describes it as "SSU rRNA". It matches the Rfam family "Eukaryotic small subunit ribosomal RNA", at positions 567 to 990 of the family's 1831-position model. The record is from RNAcentral.
CCAGCAGCCGCGGUAAUUCCAGCUCCAAUAGCGUAUAUUUAAGUUGCUGCAGUUAAAAAGCUCGUAGUUGGAUUUCGGGUGGGCACUGCCGGUCCGCCGUUUCGGUGUGCACUUGCAGGUCCCACCUUGUUGCCGGGGACGUGUUCCUGGGCUUUGCUGUCCGGGACACGGAGUCGGCGAGGUUACUUUGAGUAAAUUAGAGUGUUCAAAGCAGGCCUACGCUCUGAAUACAUUAGCAUGGAAUAACACGAUAGGACUCUGGCCUAUCUUGUUGGUCUGUAGGACCGGAGUAAUGAUUAAGAGGGACAGUCGGGGGCAUUCGUAUUUCAUUGUCAGAGGUGAAAUUCUUGGAUUUAUGAAAGACGAACUACUGCGAAAGCAUUUGCCAAGGAUGUUUUCAUUAAUCAAGAACGAAAGU